Ornithodoros turicata is the source of this 827-nucleotide long non-coding RNA. RefSeq lists it as uncharacterized. Lineage: Eukaryota; Metazoa; Arthropoda; Arachnida; Ixodida; Argasidae. The transcript has 2 exons. The record is from RefSeq and is a predicted model, not a curated record.
UUUUGCAGGUUGUUUUAGGAGUAACACGCAGCAGUGACAUCUGCAAAUGCACUUCUAGGGCACAGAGGGGAUGACUUAGGGAGGCGGAUUCCUCACCUUCCACCACCCAGGGCACCUGUGCUUUUUUUGCACACAGGUCGCCAUGAUUAUACUCAGAUAUUCGUCACUAUCAACGUCUAUCGGUUGAACGAUUUGGCUGGAAGUUUGAAUGUCAUGCAUUCAACGGAUGCUGAAGCGGUCCUGCCGUGUUUUUGUUCCUCUGCGUUCAUCUCCGCUGGAAACAACAGGCACUCCCGUCCGUACGUUACUUCUUACGUCGUAGCCUCGACCUUGAGAUUGGCCGGUAACCUAUUCCGAUGACGUAGCGAUAGCAAACCAUAGUGCGUAGUAUUGACGAUUAUGCUUCAUGGAUGUGUCAUUACAUUGAUUACAUUACCAAAUACGUCCCCAUAUGACGUCAUUUCCAUUUUAACGCGCUUCCGGUCGCUUCUCUGGUAUUAUCGAGUAUUCUGGUUGUCAGUGUGUUUCCUUUGUCCAGAGUUACUUUUCACUUGCUUCGCCAGUUACCCGACAGCCUACCUGGUCUUAUCUACAUGACAUCUACGUCAAAAAUGGCUCGCACCUUGGAUCUUGUUGGCCACGUGAAGCCUAAAGCCCUUGAAUAUGCCAAUCCAAUCCUUGAGCGUUCCGAAAGCGAAGUGGCGAAGUGUCUCACCACACGGUUUGACCAUGUGUCUGCUCAUUUAUGUAAACUGUAACCUUCCCAAGAAGUCUGUAUGAGUAUCAAUCACUUAGCAGAAAGGGCACAGUAAAAUGUCUACACAAUA